Molecule: unclassified non-coding RNA, 371 nt
Filed under: Hevea brasiliensis (rubber tree)
Lineage: Eukaryota; Viridiplantae; Streptophyta; Magnoliopsida; Malpighiales; Euphorbiaceae
Source: RNAcentral
AAUUUAUUUCAAUAAAUUACACUGUCCAAGUCACCUAUAACAGUCUGACUAAACUGGAUAAUGGUAACUAUGACUAAGAAGCCACCAGAACGUCAAUGACGUAACCAAUCACUAUGGCUAAAGCCAUAAUAAUAGAUACAAACAAUACGGCUAAAAAGCCAUCAGACAGAUAAUCAGAUAAUUGGCAUACAAGCCUCAGUAAUACAGGCAUAAAGCCCUCUGCAUAAAGCAUGAAAUAUAGGCAUAAAGCCCUACGCAUAAAGCAUUACAUACAGGCAUAAAGCCCUGCGCAUAAAAGCGUUAUGUAGUACUACUCAAACAUUACCCUAUUGGCAUGUUAACCUAUUCAAUCUGACACACGUGUCUAGGCA